AUGCAUAUGACGAGUCCAAAACAGGACGCAAUGCGCAUCCAGGAU
Molecule: non-coding RNA, 45 nt
Filed under: Trichobilharzia regenti
Lineage: Eukaryota; Metazoa; Platyhelminthes; Trematoda; Strigeidida; Schistosomatidae
Source: RNAcentral